GGGCCCGCACAAGCGGCGGAGCAUGCGGAUUAAUUCGAUGCAACGCGAAGAACCUUACCAAGGCUUGACAUUCACCGGACCGCUCCAGAGAUGGGGUUUCCCUUCGGGGUCGGUGGACAGGUGGUGCAUGGUUGUCGUCAGCUCGUGUCGUGAGAUGUUGGGUUAAGUCCCGCAACGAGCGCAACCCUCGUUCUAUGUUGCCAGCACGUGAUGGUGGGGACUCAUAGGAGACUGCCGGGGUCAACUCGGAGGAAGGUGGGGAUGACGUCAAAUCAUCAUGCCCCUUAUGUCUUGGGCUUCACGCAUGCUACAAUGGCCGGUACAAAGGGUUGCGAUACUGUGAGGUGGAGCUAAUCCCAAAAAGCCGGUCUCAGUUCGGAUUGAGGUCUGCAACUCGACCUCAUGAAGUCGGAGUCGCUA
This 420-nucleotide ribosomal RNA is filed under the name Kocuria sp. RNAcentral describes it as "bacterial SSU rRNA". It matches the Rfam family "Bacterial small subunit ribosomal RNA", at positions 917 to 1337 of the family's 1533-position model. The record is from RNAcentral. Lineage: Bacteria; Bacillati; Actinomycetota; Actinomycetes; Micrococcales; Micrococcaceae.